RNAcentral lists this ribosomal RNA (253 nucleotides) under uncultured bacterium. RNAcentral describes it as "partial 16S ribosomal RNA". It matches the Rfam family "Bacterial small subunit ribosomal RNA", at positions 524 to 776 of the family's 1533-position model. The record is from RNAcentral.
UACGAAGGGGGCUAGCGUUGUUCGGAAUUACUGGGCGUAAAGCGUGCGCAGGCGGCUUCUCAAGUCAGGGGUGAAAGCCCAGAGCUCAACUCUGGAAUUGCCUUUGAGACUGAGUGGCUUGAGUACGAGAGAGGUGAGUGGAAUUCCCAGUGUAGAGGUGAAAUGCGUAGAUAUUGGGAGGAACACCGGUGGCGAAGGCGGCCACCUGGGCCGGAACUGACGCUGAGGCGCGAAAGCGUGGGGAGCAAACGGG